RNAcentral lists this ribosomal RNA (772 nucleotides) under uncultured Streptococcus sp. RNAcentral's name for it is "bacterial SSU rRNA". It matches the Rfam family "Bacterial small subunit ribosomal RNA", at positions 28 to 776 of the family's 1533-position model. Lineage: Bacteria; Bacillati; Bacillota; Bacilli; Lactobacillales; Streptococcaceae. The record is from RNAcentral.
GACGAACGCGGCGGCGUGCCUAAUACAUGCAAGUAGAACGCACAGGAUGCACCGUAGUUUACUACACCGUAUUCUGUGAGUUGCGAACGGGUGAGUAACGCGUAGGUAACCUGCCUGGUAGCGGGGGAUAACUAUUGGAAACGAUAGCUAAUACCGCAUAAGAACAUUUACUGCAUGGUAGAUGUUUAAAAGGUGCAAAUGCAUCACUACCAGAUGGACCUGCGUUGUAUUAGCUAGUUGGUGAGGUAACGGCUCACCAAGGCAACGAUACAUAGCCGACCUGAGAGGGUGAUCGGCCACACUGGGACUGAGACACGGCCCAGACUCCUACGGGAGGCAGCAGUAGGGAAUCUUCGGCAAUGGGGGGAACCCUGACCGAGCAACGCCGCGUGAGUGAAGAAGGUUUUCGGAUCGUAAAGCUCUGUUGUUAAGGAAGAACGUGUGUGAGAGUGGAAAGUUCACACAGUGACGGUACUUAACCAGAAAGGGACGGCUAACUACGUGCCAGCAGCCGCGGUAAUACGUAGGUCCCGAGCGUUGUCCGGAUUUAUUGGGCGUAAAGCGAGCGCAGGCGGUUAGAUAAGUCUGAAGUGAAAGGCAGUGGCUCAACCAUUGUAGGCUUUGGAAACUGUUUAACUUGAGUGCAGAAGGGGAGAGUGGAAUUCCAUGUGUAGCGGUGAAAUGCGUAGAUAUAUGGAGGAACACCGGUGGCGAAAGCGGCUCUCUGGUCUGUAACUGACGCUGAGGCUCGAAAGCGUGGGGAGCGAACAGG